CAACCACAGCCUGCAGCCGGCCUCCCUCCCCACUGGGCCUGGGCUUAGUCCCUGGUUUCCGCUGACAGCCUGUAGGGCCCACUCUCUCUAGGCUUCGUGGCCCACCUGGGAAAUGGGAGGCUGGCCUGGGAGAUGCGACCUGUGACUCAGAACCCGAGGCUGAGUACAGCCCCUGUGGCUGGAGGUGGUCACGGAGGCCUGGCAGGACAGAUGCACUGGGGCAGGGGGCGGUGGC
Molecule: long non-coding RNA, 235 nt
Filed under: Homo sapiens (human)
Lineage: Eukaryota; Metazoa; Chordata; Mammalia; Primates; Hominidae
Description: HSALNT0223578
Source: RNAcentral